RNAcentral lists this ribosomal RNA (433 nucleotides) under uncultured bacterium. RNAcentral's name for it is "partial 16S ribosomal RNA". It matches the Rfam family "Bacterial small subunit ribosomal RNA", at positions 29 to 507 of the family's 1533-position model. The record is from RNAcentral.
AACGAACGCUGGCGGCAUGCCUAACACAUGCAAGUCGAACGAGACCUUCGGGUCUAGUGGCGCACGGGUGCGUAACGCGUGGGAACCUGCCCUUAGGUUCGGAAUAACUCCCCGAAAGGGGUGCUAAUACCGGAUAAUGUCUUCGGACCAAAGAUUUAUCGCCUUUGGAUGGGCCCGCGUUGGAUUAGCUAGUUGGUAGGGUAAAAGCCUACCAAGGCGACGAUCCAUAGCUGGUCUGAGAGGAUGAUCAGCCACACUGGGACUGAGACACGGCCCAGACUCCUACGGGAGGCAGCAGUGGGGAAUAUUGGACAAUGGGCGAAAGCCUGAUCCAGCAAUGCCGCGUGAGUGAUGAAGGCCUUAGGGUUGUAAAGCUCUUUUAACCGGGAUGAUAAUGACAGUACCGGGAGAAUAAGCUCCGGCUAACUACGUG